AAUAUCUUAAAAUAUUAGCUGGUGUCUGGCAUCUUGGUUAUAAAAAAUGAAAGGCUUCAUUGGUUUUUCAUUUGGACUGAGUAAUAAACAAUAGCUUUUAUUAUUAUAAUGUCCAUUUUGGGCUCUUGCACGCUGAUGAGUGUGUGAGACUGUAAAAAGCCGACUCACCUGCUCCUGACCCAGCUGGACCUGGUUCUGCUUGAUGAUGUUUUCUUUCUCCAACAGCUCUUUCUGCUGACGUUCAAAAUCCUCUUUGCCCUGUGGACCAGAAAGAUGCUGUUUGGCUGGAUCAGAGCAGACGGUGGUCACUGAGAUCGAUUGUGCGUCUGUCCAACACUCGGACGUCACAGGAAAACAACAGAGCCUUGUCUGGACUCGGUUCGUCAACACAUGGAUGCACACAGAAGCGUCAGUGCAUUCGAGACUGACGGUGACCUUCUCAGAGUGGAAACGGGAAUAAGAUCCAAAUGUUGAACCUUUCCUUUAAAAACACAAACCUGUAUCUUCAGCGACCAUAAAUCUGAACCAGGUCAAAUGACUCAAUUUAAAUGAUUAGUGAUUUCCAUCCAUGGUGCACAGUGGUAGUCCAGACACAAAUAUUCCAAACCCACCGCACUAUUUCCACGAUGUGGCAUAAAUAAAGCUGAGAGUGGUGAGAAGUGUUCUCACAAACAUGAUUUGCUGGGCUUAAUGCUCUCAAUCACACCGCUUAAACGUUACAGUAGAUUAAUUCCCUUCUGCAUCAUUAGCUGAAUCAGCCACACAGCCGACAGAACAGUCCCAGCACUAUAGCUGCGCAGCCUUUAGCAACCUCUCCAAGGCUCCGCUUUGACUAACCUCACUAACAUGAAGGCUUUCAUUUAUGUCUGAUUGUCACAGUUGUAUUUCAAUGACCUGAAUAGCUCCUUGUAUGCGGCUAAAGGCUUUGCUUUAUUUGGCCUUCAACUUGGCAGUGAUAUAAGUGGCUAAAAAACAAGGCCAUAAAAGUCUGUAUUGGACUUCGAUGGUGCUGCACACGGCGCGUAAACCUUCGCCGUGGACGUGAGUUACUCGUAACUGGACGCCAAGGCCGUCUUUUAAAACCCAGAGUUCAGUGUUCACCCUGUUUUUUUUGUUUCCCUCGUACUUGUUCAUUCACUGUGCAUUGCUUGGGCGCACCUUCCCCUGUGAGUAAUUUGCCUCUGGAUUGGUCUCGUAUUCUGCUGCAGAGCGAACAGUUCAUCAUUCUGUCACCGGCUACUGCAGUAUCAUGCUUCAGUGUCAGGGGCGGUUGUUAAGAUUCAGACGACAUACACAUACCUGCAUAGAGCCUUAAUGGAAACAAGAGCGAGGCCCUAUUUUGCACUAAUUAUAAGGACGCUCAAGUCAUGUGAUACGUGCGAUAUUGACAGCUUAGACUUGGGUCUUGCACCCAAUCAUCCACUUCACUGAACAAUAACCUUGUACACGUUGUCACUGAGUCUUUAGCUCCCUCACGGCUUUAACUAAAACCAACACGAGCUUUGACCCUUGUCUUUAAAUCGUGCACAGACAGACACCGUCUUUGCAACUUUGCAAUCAUGCAAAACCUCCUCAUUGGGAGCAUCCACUAUCUUUCUUCCCUUUCAAACCAUCCGCUGCUCCACCGAGCGACUCUCAGGGCAGCCAGUUCAAUCAGUUACUCUUCAUUUGCAUGGUAAAAUGUCCUAAUAAUACAAUUUCUGAUGUUCUGAACAUCGCGUCUAAAUCACGUUAGAUCUGCACAUUUGUUGGUGAUGAACACUUGGUUCGUGAAGGGCGGUGGAGGUCUGUGACACAGGAGCGAUUUAAGCUCCGUGGCUCCAGGAUUUAGAGUCCGGGUGGUGAUUUGAGAGCAAUGAUGCCCGAUAAUGUGCUGACACCUGCGUUUGUGCUGUGAGAUUCACCGCCUGGCUGAGAGUGUGAUAAGACAUCCAGUUGGCAUGGCGACAGACGGAGCGUAUUGACCCCCUCCCCGACGUCUUACUGGAGCGCUGUGUGCGCGCAUCGCUGUGCGCCUUCUGCGUCUGCUGUUUUCUGGAGACGUGUGAGCAUCUUUAAACGGGCCACUAAUCCCAGGACGUGUUAAAAUGAAAGGAUGCAGACGAGACGAGCUUGAUGAGGGCGUUUGGUGUCACAGCCAUUAGAUUAACUAGAAAACAUGUUGCUGUAACCUCUGCUACGUGUUGACCCUGAUUUGUGAGUGACCAGUGAAUUAACUAAAGGGACCUACAAACAAACUGUGAGGCAUUUUGACAUGUUCUGUGUUUUUGAUCUAAGGUGCAGACAAGCCAGUCUAAUCUGAUCAUAUUCAAUUUCAGCUCACGGUUUCCUUCUGGUAUUUAUCGUUUUCCAUACUUUCAUGCCUUCCCUUUAUUCAGAUGUUGGCCAGAGAUUAUUUGCCAGCACAUUUAGGCAGCGGCUCCAGCUCCAUGGCGUUUAAACAAAGCAUGGACAGAAAACACAGCGGUUUUGGCUUCGCUCCUCUUGUUAUUUAUGGAGAGGAUCCAUCCAUCCUUUUGUGCUCCGCUGGCAGCGGCGAUGCGGGUGGGAAUUCUGGGAAGCGCAGGAUCUAAAUGAGGCAACAGCCCCCCUCUACCUAUAAACAUGUUGGUGGACGCGAGGACCGCCAGUGCCUCUGGCGUUUGAAAUAUGGAGCUCCAGAGUGCAACGCUAGUGCACACAGACAACAAACACGGUUUUAGGAGGGAUUCCUGACCUUUGCCUCCACCUCGGGUCCUGUUACCCACAUAAACGCCUCUCUGGCAGGUGACCUAGUUUUACUUCUUCAGACGGCUUUGUACACGUGAAUCCUCUCUCCUUCCUGCGCUGUUUACCCAGCGCUCUGAUGUUCACCGUGGCUUCGCUCCCAUGGGUUCGUACCUGUAUGCAAAUGUUUUCUUAACUCGCUCGGGCUGAAGCAGAACAAAACGCGAUCAUUCCAAAUGUCUGAAUGCACAGGAAGGACCCAAUGCGAGCCGUGUGUGCUGGGUCUUUGUGUGUGUGCCUCUGGUAAGGCUGGCGGUGAACUGGAAAUAGGGCUUUGGUUUCCUACAUACCCUGCAGACUGAUGAUGAAUGGCUGUAGUGUGGGUAGGUUGUUAAUGAACUCAUAGCACGGCGUAGUCUGGGCCGGCGGAUUGCUCAACACCAAGUCUGGAGCAGAAACGCUACAAAUCUAAUUGUGGCUCUGGAGAGCGGAGUCCGACUGCGCUGAUUGCUCUCUGGUUGCCGUUGUCAGGAUGCGAAGCUCUGCCCAGGAUCUGUGGCUGCAGAGCAAAGCGAGCGUUUGGCUCACAUCUGGAUUUGGUGUUGGCUGUGGGUGGAGGAGGCAAGGUGAAGCGGGGGACAGUCCUGGUAUUAACACAUGUGUCUGCGGCGUGAAGUAGACGCAAACAAAUAGCAUCAAGCAGCCGAAGCCACGUGAAACGUUUUAUCUAAAAUCAUUAUUUUACUCGCCGUCGUUUGUUAUGUAAUGAGCAUAACACAUAGGAAAUAGCCGGGAUGCCACAGCAGCGGCAUCCGCUUUGCCUCUGUUUUGUUUAAAAGUCAGUGAUGUGGCUCAGCAACCUAAGAUCCGACCGGCUCAAGCUUGAUGUGUUUAUUUGAACAAUUCUGUUGCACGCCUGAGGUCCAUUUGUCUCCUGCUCCUCCAGGCAGGAUGUGCUGAGCCGCUGCACCAGGUUUCUGCUGAUACUCAGUUCCUGCAGUUCCUCAGACUUUUGUUUCUCCUCGUGCAGGUAUUGAACAGCCUGAGUUCUGUUUUCUUUUCAUUACAUUAUCUCAUUAGUGCCGUUUGUAGGGAAGUGGUUGUUUCUGGGCUUUGACUCACAAACACGGACAUCUGAAAGGUUAUUCUGGUAAUGGAGCUGGCUCGAGGACACAAUGUUUUUAUGCCAAGUUUGAUCCAAAGCAGCAGCUCACACAGUAUGUGUCCAAUGCAGACUACACGUCCUUUGUACUCGUCAGUUCUCUGGUUCGAGGCAAAAGCCAUGAGCACAUCCAUCAUCGUGGUUCAGUUUUAGUGUUAGCCAGACUUAACCUUGUCAGGAACUGCAUAAUACUUUAUUAUGGGACAGUAUAUCUCAUAUCCAAACCUUUUGUCUGUGUUUGGUUCUGGUGACCACCGUACGGACCAGAUGUUUACACGACAGCGCAGGCUGGCGCACGACAGUCAGUGUGAUGUCCCAGUGAGGAAACAGCAGCAUCAACAUGUUCACAAAUGCAAAUACAAUCGAGUCCCUUAGAUUUAGAUUCUCCUUUUCGCUCCCUCACUCGAACAGGGUCUCCCUCCCUCACACACACAAACACAGCCAAACCUGUGGUCACCCGCUCCUGCUCUCCGCCAUCCGGAGUGGUUUCUCCUCGAUGCCAUGUUCCGCAUCCAGAGCUGGAGUCAGUCUGAGUGAAGGCAGCCACACAUGCGCUCCUCGUGCACACGCCUGCGGGGUCCAGCAGCGCUGUAGUUCUGCAAAAUGUGACUUUUAUUCAUUUGGAUUAGGCGAAGGGAAGUAGGACCGGCUGCACGUCUGACUUCAUGCCUACUAAAACAUCACCGUGGCACCAAAACAAGGCAGCGACCCGGGUCCACGUCGACAUGUUUGUAUUCUGUCUCACUUUCCAGAUACCUUGACCGCCUCAGAUUGAUGUUGUAUCUAAAUUUCUCUGAAACAGAUGCCGAGGAAGAAACGAGAAUCUUCAGAGCAGAUGAAAAACCCAUUGGCGGUGGAAUGUGCAGUAGGCCUGUGCCUGACUUCAGCAGGCAUUUGUUUUUGCUGUUGAGCUCAUCUGAGCGAAGGAACUUUAAGCGAUGUUUAUAUUUGUGUUCCUCUGGCUCACGGGAGCAGCUCAGAGUUUGAGUCUGGGUGAAAAAUGUGCCCCGCUGUAAAUCAAUUCAUAUUCCAAGUGGUGUUUGAAACAACUGGAGCAUGAGUCGCAGAUGUGAUGUGUUGUGAUCCCGGCAAGUGGUGUUUUGUUGUGUUAUUCUUGCAUGAAAUACAGAUUUUGGAAAUUUAUAUCAUGUGCCUUUUGGUGCACAUUUCGUCCAGAGCUCAUUGGAGCUCGACCACAAUAACAUAGUUUACAUUUUUCAAAAUGCAAACGCCAACUCUUGCUCCGUGCACGUCUGCUGAGGUUCGAGAACCCAACAGGCAUGCACUUCUCCUUAUUUAGCUGGAAUUAUGGAUUGCUCGUCCACCACUACCUGCGGCUCAGCCGGUUCCACCAGAUCUGGUCCAGGAGCAGAUGCUGGCCAGGAAAGCAGCCGCUGCAGGGUUCCCGCUUCUGAUGCUGCCCCGAUAUAACCUGCCUCCCCUCAGGCUCCACCGCUGCCGAGCCUCCCUCCUCGUCCUCAUCUCAUCUAACUAUGCACACGCAACCACACUUUGACCAGGCAGCGAUGUUUGUUUGUGAGCGAGACGAGGCCUCAGGACUCGCUAAACAAAACCCCUCGGAGAUUAGCAGGCGUUUAGAUGUAAAGUGUGUGGUUUUCAUUUAAUUGAUGAUGAUUAUUUCUGCAGAGACUUUUAACUGCGCUUUCAGGAAGCCAAGAGAAACUGAAUGAAAGCUCUCUUCAGUCAUGCACAACCAGCUGCAAACGCUACACAUGGUAUGUGUUAUGAGUAAAUACACAACAAGACAUUCAGAUGAUAAUAUUCUAUUAUCUGUACUAUAUUUCACCACCUUAUAGCAGCGAUUUGUUUUACAGGAUAACCAGCCAAACAUUGUUUUUGCAAAAUUAUGGAAAAUGUAAUUUUGUUGACUAACUCCUCACAUGUCCACAUAGAUGGUCCGUCUGCAUUCUGGCAGCUGUGGUACCUUCCACCCCUCAGUUGGAGCCUGGGACUUGUUAAAUCUGUGUCGACCGGCUUCAAUCGUCGCCACAAUCAGCAGCUCAUUGUUCGUCUUUGCUUCCAGCUGAUCAACGACGACGUGCAGUCAGAUUCAGCAGGGCUGAAUAACGCAUUGUGUAAAAGCGCUCUCACCACUGAUGUUUCCCUGCAGCACAGCAGCACCGGCCGAGCGGCGGACGAGCCCAUGUUCUGUUUAUGCUGCUGCUCCGCUCGGCACGUUCAAACAAUAGCACGUUUAUCAGCAGGGUUUCCUAUUCCCUUGUUACGCGACUCUGCAGCCGAGUGGAGCCGCAAACGUCCGCGUCCUGUUACAACAACAACAAGCCUGAGCCGCUCUCCCUCGCGUCGCUGCCAUCCUCCCCUGCCCUCCUCUGGGACGUUUACACUAUAUCACUGUCAGACUGAGGCUCAGAGCUCCUUCGGGACACAACAUUCCCAUUAUGAAAUGACCCCAUUUUGUUGGGCGCUAUGAAUAUGAUGUAGGCUUGUCGACUUCAGGCCCUUUUGUCUGAAGUAGAAUCCCAAACAAUGCUAAUUGUUGCUUGCGAUGCUUUUCCAUUUUCGCGUCCUCUCAGCCUCUCGCUCCUCCUUUGUCUCGGUUUCGGCCGCUCUGUGGAGGUACAGUCGUGCCCCGCACCCUGCUGUUAGCUCAGCCCUGCACAACAAAAGACCUCCAUUUAGGGAUUAUCCUGUACAGGAUGUAGUUGACCUUUCACUCUCCCUGUUUGUUUGCUGUGGUUUGUCUCCGGUGAAUGAGCUCGGGGGCAACUUGAGCUCUUCGCUACAGCUACAGUAGAUGUCAGCGGCAGGAUGUUUUAGCGGAGCUCAAAGAAUUUAUGAAGACUAUAAAGCAGGAAUUCGGGGCGACAUUUGAAGUUAGCUAGAUGUGCAGCGGGUUUAAUACUCACAUUUCUACCCUCACAGGGUUUCAAAGCUUAUGCUUUAUUAAUAUGUUUUGCAGAAUUUUAAGGUUUGAUGAAAGUUUGUCAGCUUCCCUGAUGCUGAUGUUGUUUCCCACUGUUCUCUGCUUGUAAAUUAAGGUUUAAAUCAUAAACUGGACUUAAGAUUGCAGCAUGUGCAGCACUUUGAUCAGAUGCAGCCACCAAACACAGUUUAUAAAGAUAAAGAGUUGUCCAUCUCAUCGUGACGAAUCAGGAGCUGAGAAGUGGGUCACGGCAGCUGUUUCCAAAGCUCGGCCAGACUGGAGUCCCACCGGCAACAACCUCCAGCCGUUUCCACUGCGGCUACAUUUAGAUUGGUGAUAAAGAGACGGGUGCAAAGUUAGGAGAGUACCAAUCACCGUUUUCACAGUCAAGCUCCAGGCUGAUGCUGAGGGCACUGACCCGGCUUUGCUGGUGCUCAGUCCUCGUCCCACACGUCAAGACCGGCGUCGAGGGAGGAGCUAAGGUCAACAAACAAACUGGGCCCGGGGUGGUAUCAUGAUACGGUAUCUGCAUCUGCUGGACACAACAUACAGACGGACGCUUACUCCGAGAGACAAAACACAUGCAGUCCCCCACCGGUCCCGCGGCCAGCGCUUCAGGGGAGAUUUACCGGGUCCAGGCUUCAGCCAUCGGGGGUUUGACAUGGACCAGGAUGUGCAGGGAAGUGGAAUGAGCAAAAAGCAGUUGUGUCAUCACAGCGGCUCUGAGGGCAUCGUGUCAGCUCCCUGUUGUGUUUGUGUGUUUGUGUGGGUGAGAAAGAAACUGAAAGAGAAAGAGAGACGUGGGCAGACUGACUUUACAGACAUAAGAUGACUCACUUAUGUCAAAAACAGGUUUGUCCAACCUACAGGAAAAGCAGAUGAGGUAAACACACAUUUUAUCUACAAUUAAGACUAUAGAUUAUAGGUUACUGUGAAGAAUCCAAAUCGAUUGAAUAUCCAGACUGUGGGAUCAGCCCCGGAGCGGCCGUCUCCGUCGGACCCCAGCGUUUGUCGGGGGGUCCGCCUGAAAAAGCAAAGUGCCAGACUCAGCCUGUCUAAACAGGGACAGAGGCUCAUCUCCGUCAUCACUAACACGUGUUGGCUUAAAAAAACGCAAGUGGCACAAAUACAACUUCAUCAUUAACCUAGUUUGUCAUUUUAGUAGAUGUGUCUCACUUUUGAAUUUCAUCAUCUGAGAUUAGGUUGCUAAAUAGUAGCAACAUUUAUUUCUGUAAAUACUGAGCAAUUAAAUAUUUAGAUUCAUAAAGACUAAGCAUGAGGGUUACCAAUACAUAUUUAUUUAUGAUUUUAGGGGAAAUAAGCACAACCCAGUAAAAUCCUGAGCACAGGACCGCUUCCAUUCCAGCCUUUCAGCCCUUUCUUCCAAACUGUGUGAACCAAACGUCACUGUGUGAUCCUCUAUUUGGGAAAUUCAUUCACAAACUAUCAAAAUCACAACCGCGCACAACAACAAUAACCUUGUUGCUUGUUGUUUUAUUCCAGCUAAUUUGUGUUUUCAAACUUCCCAUCGCUACAAAGACCAGGAUGACACGUCUCCAUAUGCGUCGUAAUCACGGAGAUUUAUGAUGAUUACAGUGACGGAGAGGCUGGCAUCUGUUUUGGCUUUAAAGCGUCCAGUCUGGAGGAAACAUCUGCGCAGUUUGACUUCUUUCUCACCGAGCUGUUAAAAACACUCAGUUGUAAGGUUUACUUUCACAAACGCAGGCCAGUUUUCCCCUUUCCUCUCAUGGCAACAGGCUCAGAGAGCAGCACGAAACUAAAAAUGAUAAUAACAUCCCUUCAUAUUUCUUCUGAAUGAAGCCAUUAGCGAUGCAAAGGAGAGCUGAACUGUGUGUGCACAGGGCUUUCCCCCUUCGCUGUAAUUAUUCCUACAUUUGCAUUUCAAAUUCAAUUCUCUCUAAUAGAGGACAGAUUACUUUCUCUCCCCGUUUCUGUCACAGUGUAAAUAAUUCCACAUUUCAUUUCACAGACGGCGGCAUAAUGACAUGCAAAUCAGUUCACUAGACUGAAAAACCCCUGAUGCCAACGAACAGACAGCAGACUUUCUUCUUGGCACCACAGUCAAUUUGGGAUGAGUUUAUUUUACUGUGAUGGAAGGACAGAAAGGAAGACUUCCAGCAAGAAGUCGCAAACGCAGGACUUAUUAGUGUCAUGAGUCAGUCUGAGUUAAAUGUGGAGGAAGCAGCCAGGAUGUAGCUCUGCUGACAGAAGUCCACUACUGACUCUUGCUGGUGACAGUUCUGUAAAUAUUGUUGCAGUUCUUUGGCAAAUAUUGUCACACUCAGCCUUCAAGUUUAUCUAAUUUCUCCCCCGUCGCCCCUCGAUUGGCUUAAUUACCGUUAGUUACUGUCUUAUUAUUCUGUAACAUGAAUCGUGAGGCUUGUUCUCAUUUAUUAAUUGGCUACCUUUUACUACCCACAAUGCAUCUGGACCCAGCUGUGAAGGCCACGGCGUGUCGAUCAUGUCCAGUGGCUUUGCUUUCGAGGCGCGGAGCAGACAAAAACACUGCGCUGACGCACAAGGAUGGGACUCGAGAGCAUCACUAAUCACCGGCUUUUAAUUGCAGAAUUAGAGCUUCUCCGACGAGGCCACGUUCAGUUGAGAAGGCGACUGACAUGCGAACACACGGGCCACUUUGCUGUAACACCAGCUCCCUCCCUGUGGUGGACUGAAAUAGCUCAGGCAGGCACAGCGCGCUGCCAUAAUUAGGCCUGUUUCUAAUAAACAGCGACAGAGGAUGUCACAGCUGUCGGCUCUGCUUUACGUGGACACGUGUAAACGGCUCAGAACCACAGUCAGGGCGUUUCUCUGACUGUGACGUGCUUAUUUUGAGUGGAUAGAUGUACUGCAUAUAGGGACGAUAACAAUAGGACAGCUGACAUUUGUUCUUGCUAGAAAACAUACAUCUUGUGCUGUCCUCAGCUUCACAUCAACACACCUACAGCUUUUUCCUGGCAGCUGCUCCUGUUAAUAGAGCUACUUUCUUUCUCUCUUCCAAGGAAGCCUGUGUCCUGCCAGCUGAGGUUUCUCUGCGAAGCCUUUAAAAGACCACGUACCUCAUACCUCAGAACCUGAGUCACUGCCCGAUGUUCUGUUCUGGUCGGCCUGACUCAUAGGAGGACAAACAUAAAUGCGCGGGACCUCUGCGGAUGCCUCUGUGGCAGCUUCUUUGCUCCACUGGCUGCUGUCCACAUCAGCUUUAAGCACGGUGACCCUGGGAUCAGGCUCGCAUGCCUUCCUCUUGAGCUCAGCCCAGAUCAAGAAAAUGCUCGGCAUUCUGGGGGCUUUGACGUGGGGCAACUCUGCUAAACAUAUCAGAGGGCGAAGUGUGGCGUUUAUGUUGAGGAAUGUCUUUAUUCUCGUGUACUGAAAGCUAUUUUCCAACCAGGCUUUAGACCGUGCUAUGCUGCCUCCGCUCCGAACGUGCCACUGGGCUGGAAUCCUCGGAGGGAGGCUGUGAAAAUGCAGUUGUGUGCGCUUUGUGAGUAAUGUCAUUAAGUUCAGGCCGAAGUAUCUGCGGAUAAUGUGCCAUUUGCUGAUGAAAGACACGCAGCCUCUAGAGACACGGCUCCCGCUGAUGGGAGAAGCAGCCAUCCCUCCCCCUUCAUUUGAAGCUUCACUGCUGAGCUGUGACCCGUCCAGUCGCUGGGCCCGGAUGCGUGCAUCAGCUACUGCCACAUGCAGCAAUAACAUAACCAGAGAAUGUGACAAAAGAUAAACCACCAUGAUCUCAGGACACAGAUACUAAAUGUUUUGUAAACACAGGAUUAGAUGGAAUCAACGGCCUAAUCUUCUUAUCUGCUCAGAUAAAUCUAAAAAUACGUAGUUUUCCACCGCUUCUUCAAUAUUUUAAAGGGCAGUAACAAAACCGCCACGUUUAAUUGUCUUGUUCUCGACUUGUGACUGUGUUUGAAUCCUGUGGUUGAAGGUCAGGGCCGCUGUGACGCAGGAGCAACCGGAGCCACAAAUGUCCACAUGUGGAUCAACUGGUUCGAGCGAAGCUCCGAACAGUCGUCUAAACCAGCACAGCAGCCUGAAGUGCUGCAAUCAAACGAAAUCAGGCAUCGCAUUAAACUAAAUGCUGAAAACAGGAAAGAAGGCUUUGAGCAGGUUAAGACUUAUUGAGAAAAUUGAGCCACAAUAAGAUCCAGAUGUCAGAAAUGGGAAAAUGCCUAAUGUGUGAUGUUCUGAGCUCCGCGCUGCUGUUUGCACCCCAGAGGAAGCUGACGCACAACUUUGUCAUCGUAUUCACUUUGUUUCCACGUGGCACUAAUACUCAGACUUCUAUUUAUAGCACUUGGAGGACACUGGCUGAAAUACUUCCCAGCAUUUUGGCUCAUUGCUAUUUUUAUCAUUCCUGAACCAGUUUCUUGUUGUGGGCGUCCCUAAGAAACAGUUUGUUCUUGUACCUGUUUUGAGGAGGAAUCAGCAGCCUGUGAUGGAUUCAAAGGGAACAUUGUUUUUGUUUUUCUCGUUUCCAUGCAGUUGAUGAUGCCCUGUAAUUUUCAGCCGCUGCAGACUGGCACAGCUCAGAAGCCACUGACAUCAGCUCAAGGAGGAGCGAUCCUCAUUCAGCAGCACAUUUAACCUACAGACGCGAUGAGAUGUGUUGCUUCGUCUGUGUUUGUGCAGAUGUUAUGUGCGUCUGGGGUUUAGUUGUGUUAUGCAGCUUCACCUGGAGGUGACGUCAGGUUAUAAAUGAUCUCAGGGUCUAAAACGAUGCUGAUUUAAGGUUCUGGUGGCAAAGAAGCCAACUCUGAGACCCUUAAGGAUGGUUAUCCAUAAAUCUGCAGUCAAAUCUCACAAAAUCUGGAUAAAAGAUCUGGAUUAGGGUGUAAUUUUACUAAAUUACACCUCGGAUGCCAGAAGAAACAUGCCUUUCUCAGUCUCAGGUUUCUUGCCUCAGUAUUAAUGACACAUUUGAGCCCAUAAAUGUUGUCUGUAUUUUUUAAAUCUGCCUUUGAGGCUCAUUCGUACACUUUUCUAACCCAUCCGUGCUAAAUCACUGCACAUUCACACCUUGCUGCUCCUCUCCACUGCCUUUAAUAAUUAAAGGAGCCGCUUUCUUCUUGACUGCGUGAGCAAAUCCUUGCCUCACCUGCCUCCAGGCUCCGCUUCUGAUGAAACUGUCCAGGCUUGAAACAAAACUUGAUCAGUGCUGUGUAGAGGAAAUUACUGUAUGUCAGUCAAAGGAAUCUUUCCGUGAAGCUGCCACUCCUUAAAUAAAUAGUGAUAGAUUCUGGAGAAGGUUUGCUUUGUUUAUCCUGAGGCUGAAGUACACUGUAGAGCACAUAUAAUACAUUUCUUAUAUGUACUUUUCAUUUUCAUUUUCUAAAAGGCAUUUCUUAAUCCAUAAUUUAUGAAGUUUGAGCACAGGGAACCGAACAGCGCGAGUUCAGGGAAGCAGGCGUCUCCAUAUGUUCUGGGAAGGAGCCACCCGAUGAUGGGAAGCUCUGGAGCAGUGGCAUCACACCUCUGACAAGCAUGAGAUUUAUUUAGUCUAUCACCACCGGCGACAUCAGGGAUGACUCAUCCACGGUUUUAUGUCCUCUGGACUUCGGAGGAAAACCUACGGAGUAGCUGAAGGUAAAUAUUUAUGUGGAGUCAUGCUAUACUAGUGGAUGAGCUGUACACCCACAACCCUCAUAACUCAGUGUGGUUAAACUCUCAGGCAGAAAACUCUUUGGUGAUAAAGUGGGAAUGAGCAACUUACUGUACAGUACCUGCCAGUUACAGUAAAAUUUGUUCGCGCGACGAUGAUAAUUAUCUGUGUUUGAUUGCUUUGAGGUGCACACGAUGCGUCUGAGCAGGUUGUGUCUGUGCAGUUAGAUAAGGCCUAUGGAGGCUGGACCUGCAGCUGCUGCUGCAGGGGACGAGGACGAUGCGGGCUCAGCUCAGGGCUUUGCUGGUGAUUCGUCACAGGUGUAGAUGUGUGAUCAGGGCGAACUCUCCCGCUCGUGUGUGGCUGCUGUUGACAUCAAAUCCACACAUUUCAUAGCUCCCCUGGACUGUGAUGGAAACAGCUCAGGUUUAUGUGGGUCAUGUCGUCCUGCCUCCACGCACAGAUUCCAGACCCGACGGGCCUGCUGGGGCCGCAUGGUUCGGGCCGCUUGGCCGACUGCAAGCGUGCUGGGAACGUUUAAUGCUUCUGGAAAGUCUGGUGCGCUUCACCCACAUACCGCUGGCAUCUAUUUCUUUCCGUUUCCCCCGCUCCCGGCGAGUUAUAGUGACUCUGGGAUGGAUGUAGGCCUCCGGGGGUGAGCUAAGCUGGAAUAAUUGAAGUUACAGGUUCUGUCUGAUUCUCUGGAUGAAUAGUUUGCAGUUCUGUGCUCCUCUGUUAGACAUGCUCUGCCGUCUUGAAAUGUUAAGCAUUCAUUCGAUAAGGCCUUGAUGAUGAAUCCUACCAGGGAUCUUACUGUAUUUACUGUCUUUCCUGUCAGAGCUCAGCUUUUUUUAGAUGUUCAUAACUUACAACUUCAAUUAUAAGUUACAAGUUCCUCCACAACAAUGUGGUGUUGUUGUUCUGCAAUAAACCCCCAUCAAAGUAAAACAUUAUUAAUGAGGACAAGUAAAUUACACAGCUCCUUGUUUUGAUAUUGACCAAAACAGAAAUUUGGGCCCUGGGGGAAAGUUUCUCAAUGAAAGAGCAGAUUCACCCACGUGCAGGAACAUGAAGCCGCUCGUCCUAAUGACUCACUGCUGGAGUUUUCAGUCUUAGCUAAACAUUUCUAGCCAUUAGCAUCAGCCGAGUCGUCCUGCCUGAAGCAGUAUGGAUCUCAGUCCAGGUUUCCCACAGUUGAACAGCGGCAUCGGUGGUCACUCAACACUUUUUGAUGUACCCUUCAAAGAGGCAACAUCCCUCUAAUCACAUAAACCCUGAAACCCCUGAACCACUGGCUUCCAAUGCAAUAAAUUACCUCUUCUAAUAUGUAGCUGUUAAUCAUUUGCGUCAUGUGAUUUCCCCCGAAAUAAAAAAAGCAGCUGAAACGAAACAUCUUUAAAGCGGGUGUUUGUUUAGAGGAGAAUAAUGGGAAACGUGUGCCAAAAGCAGUAAUGCGAUGAUAUAAGAGACUGGGAGUGAAACACGGCAGACGGGAUGAAGUCAAGGAUAUCCUGGAGGCAGAUUGUGUCAGACGCAGGUGUAGCUCUUAGUUGUGGUCAAGUCCCGAGUCUCAGGUGCAGCUAUUUUCAUGUGGAGCCAAGAGAGAUCAAACCCCAUUCGUUCAAGCACGGCCGCUGUUUAAGCUGUGAUUGUGAGCACCUGCCUUUCUAGGGCCAUCAAAGGUGAGCUACAAUAGCCUGGCUCAGGAUCAUCUGGGAGCUCCUUGUUCUCACUACAAAGGAGGCAGAGGACCGGCCCGUGAACUCGGCUUGACUUCACAUUUGUCAACCUCAACUCCACACAAUUGAGUUUUUUGGUGUCCGUUUAACUGGGACACAAUAAAUCUACAAAUUGCUUUGAUCUUUCAACAAUUAUUGGUUAUAAGUGAAAUCAUCCACCUAUUAUUUAUGUCAUAAUAUUCAAAAUGUCAGAAUAAGAUUUAGAAAGAAGACAGAUGUAACUGUGAAGCAGCACAGUUCCCAUAAUGUCUACGUGAAUGAAACCCUUGAAGAACGCUGCCACAGUUUUUAAAUUAGCGGUUUACCACCAACAGAACAUCAGGAUGGGCUCUGAAAUGAUUUGUGAGCAGACAUCGCACCUUUGUUUACUUUAAAGUUGUGCUUUUUAAUUAGGCUUAGUGGUAAAUCCAGCAGCUCAGCUCAGCUUAGACAGAAGACAGGAUGCUGGCACAACUCCUACUUCACAGCAGCUCCAAAGCCCACUGGGGAGUGCGUCAAAGCUGCUUUCUCAAAGGAGUGGAACGCAGCAUUCAGCAACCUGAAAGUUAUAAUCAUAGACUUUCUUUAGCUAAGACAUUUAUUUUGACUUUGGGAGCCAGUCUUCCUUCGUGGAGGCUGCCGUGUUUCUGCUACAGCCCAGUACAGAGACAGGACGCUUGUGUUUUAAUGGGAACUCUCAGCUUGAAUCUGAAGACGUCUCUAAUAUUACGGCUCUAACAUACAGUUCCACUGUUACAGGUUAACAAGUAGAAAGUAGUUUCACUCACUAUGAGCACAAAUUAAAACUUCUAUUUAAUUACUAACAAGAAAGUUAUGUUAACAAGCUAGUUUGGUUUUCAUAUGAUCGUUGGAUUUUGAACGCAGUGCGAACUAAAAAUGUGAAAAACCCAGAAGCACAUUUGAAUACAGUGAAGGCAAAUGGACGUUUUCUACAAUUCAUAUCCUCCAAGUGGAACCAAAGGGAGCAGCGUGAAAUUUAAAACAGUCGUCAAUCAUUCCUAUGGAUUUAUGAUGUUCCCUGGUAUAUGGCAGCUGGAAGAUGAUGCAUGUCUAAUAGUAGAGCAGCAGCACCUCGAGUCAUCACAGCCAGUUGGCUCCAGUUGAUGUCUUCACUGACAGCGAUGUUGGCCAGAUAGGGGGCUUUGCUCAUGACUCACCUGGGUCAGGGCCGUCUGCCCGAGGGGCGGAAAUGACAGAAAGAGAAAACAUUCCGAGACCACAGCACCCGCAGCUCAGUGAGCCGGAGAGGAGGGGGUAUUUCACCUUGCAGUUUCAGUUACAGCCACCCCGAGGUGAAGACAAUAGGCUUGAUGUAUGUGUGAUUUGAAAAAGACAUAAUGCAUCUGAACUGCUGCAGGUCUGUGCAGAAGCCCCAGGCUGAGUCUGUGGGCGAACACAAUGCCAGCGCGGAUCUGUCUGGGAUACGGUGACGGCUCAUGUUGCCCCCAAAAAAUCCCCAUUUGGGACAAAAACAUUUGUCAGGACCCUUGAUGGAAGAGGGGAUUCACAUUCACGCCUCACCGUUCAAAAGCAGAGGCUGACAGUUCUAAAGAAUGCAGCGAUGACACACGCAGGACGGGAACAAUGGCGGCAGCGGGGCCUCAAGAGGCAAACACUGCACCGACAUUGGGUUUCACUGUCAUUUUAACGCCUUCUAACCCACUAACCCUCUGACACUUUGUUUGGUAGCCGUCUGAACAUGGAGGCGACUGCUAGAGAGCAAAACUCCAGGCAGGGAAAAAUGAGAGAAGGAAUCCACCUGCUGGCCAACUGCAGGAACCAUCUCAUCCAUCAAAGCAGGGCCUUUUACAUGACAUUUUAAUCUGCCUGCUGUCCAAUUAAGCAGUGAUCAUUAAUUAUGUGUCAGAUGUGAUUCUUGUUUGACCUUUAUUUUAGCAUUCAGCUGGCGCUUCAUUAAAUCGACGCUGCACUGAAUGCAUUUGAUAUGUUAAUAUCUUGUUUGUUUUCCAUGUGCUGGAAGAUCUCCUCCUUCGGUAAACAAAUCUGGGUUUUCCUGGGGGUGAAGGAAAAGCAGAGAUAUCGUUCAGCCGUAUUUGCUUUCAUUAGUCGACUGUAACCCCAAAGAGUGAACGCGUCUUUUGUUCCCACAUCUGUGCUCUGAGAUGGUUCAGAUCAAUUCAAAGAUGUGGAAAGCUGUGGGAGAGUCAAAGAACUCUUUCAUCCCACUGCUAUGACCACUGAUGUGUCUGUGCCUUCAUCUCCCCCACCCACGUAGCUCCACCUCCCCCAGAACGCUUGAUUUCACACAGCUGAUCAUCCACGUUCCCAGGAUCAACCAGAGAACAAUUACUGAUGAAAGACUUCCUCCAAUGGUAGAAAUAAGAAAAACAAAGAGGCUCCAGAUUUUUGCUUGUGAUGCAGAUAUUUGUAUUAGCAAACACAGUUACUGCACAAAUCUGCUUUAGAUGAAAAAACAUCUGUGGCGAUCGAGCUACUGGAACAAGUUACUGUACUGUAAAUACUCAUAUUUAAUGUUAGCAAACAAACUUUUAAAACUUUUUCCUCAGACCUGUCUGUUCUUGUCAAGUGAGAGAAAAGAGGUGGAACAGGAUCCCUACAAGAAAAGAGUGAAUGGAGCUAUUUCAUCAAGCAACUUUAUGGUGAUAUAUCUAAAUAUAUCUUUUACACAUAAUUGUUCCAGAUCAUAUACAGUAAAGGAUUUGCCGUACAGUACAUUCCAACACCUCUUUCCUAUAUUAUUUAAAUGAAUUUUCUCACUUUCUAAUAUUGGUUGUUUUCAACCCAUACAUAAUUAAAGCUACAU
This is a long non-coding RNA of Betta splendens (Siamese fighting fish), 16920 nucleotides long. RefSeq lists it as uncharacterized. The transcript has 7 exons. The record is from RefSeq and is a predicted model, not a curated record. Lineage: Eukaryota; Metazoa; Chordata; Actinopteri; Anabantiformes; Osphronemidae.